CAUAGUGAGUUCAAGGCCAGCCUGAACUAGAGUGAGACCUUGUCUCAAAAAAAAAAAAGACCCUGAGCCAGGGAUAUAGGGAUAGAACAAGCCAUUGCUUAGCUUACCCCCAAGUUCCAUGCCCAAUAUUGCAAAAGAAAAGAAAAGAAGGAGGGGAGGAGAGAGGGGAGGAGGGAGAGAGGACAGGAAGGAAGGAAGGAAAACCCAGAGGGCCAGUUGUGAGCACAGGGCUACACGAGAUUAAGAGGGCCCAAGGAUGUAAGUCCAGUACUGUACUCUGGGAGGCAGGAAGAUCACUCAGUAACUUAGUGACUUAGCAAGACUCUGUCUCAAAAUACAAAUUUUAAAAAGGGCUAGAGAUAUAGCUGGUAUAUUAGUCCUUGGUACCCCAAGUACCAUAUACGAGAGAGUGAGAGAGGAUCCAAGGGAUGGCGAAGACAAGGAAGGCCACUGGGGACGGUGGUGUGAGCAGAGGACUGUGGUCAGCACCUCGAAAGCCUGUCACAUGUCUGAUCCCAGACCAUGACUGCAUUUGUCAUCUCUAGGGCCUUCCCGUUCCCAUACUCCUCAAUUGUCUGACAUUUGCACAGGUUCCUUUUGUUAUAAAAUCUAUGAGGUUUUUUUUUUGGUACCAGGGAUUGAACUCAGGUCCUUGCGCUUGCGCAGCAGGCAGCGAAAUCACUGCGCUAAAUCCCCGGGCCUAAAUCUAUGAGUUUUUGAAAGAUUGAUCUAAAAAGCUGGAGGCAUGUUGACACCAGAGAGGCCAAGGAGGGCUGGGGAAACACAAGUCCCACCCCUGUGGGCCACAGACUGCAAGCCCAGAAAACAAGACACCAGACAGACAGGAGACCCCCUCCCUGCCCUGCACCCCAUUCCUAUCAGGGCCGCCACACCUUGACCAGUUUGUAGAAGGUCUCGUAGAUGAAGAUAAGGGAGAUGAGGAAGGCGAAGAUCUCCUGGGUGAAGCGGGACACAAAACGCACCAGGAAACUCCCCUCCAGGGCCACCAUGAGCAGGGCCAGCAGCACCAGCCAGAAGCCAAUCCACACCCGGCCCACCAGGUACUCCAGCUCGCUGCUUCUGCAGAACUACACAGGGGAGUCAGGGAGCCGUCAGGGCUCUGGGGACAAGAGGAGAAGGCUAUGGGGAGACCACACAGGGAGAGGACGGGCAGCCCACGCAGGGUAAGAAGAGCUCUACCUAUGGCCGGGGAUUUAGCUCAGUGGUUCCACCACCUGCCUUGAAAGCACAAGGUCCCAAGUUCGAUCCCCAGUACCAAAAAUAAAAAGAAGAGCCCUACCGAGUAGAAGGCCUCCUCAAAGACCAGCAGCGGCCCAGAGAAGCCGACACCAGCAGCGGCUGAGCCCCUAGCAGGCAGAAGAUCACACCCUGGAGCGCCGUGGACAUGAUGAGCUCUGACACCCCUAUCAGGUCAUGUGUCUUCUCUCCUGAGGGUCCCCCAAAGGUGAUGGCUGGAGACAGGGCUGCAAAGUAGAUGAAGAUGACAGCGGCCAGGCACUGAGGGUCAAGUGCAUCUCGGAAGUCACUCAGGUAGUGGGGGUAGCGGCGCUUUACAUCACGGAUCAGCCCUCCAAAGGGCCGGCCUGUCCGCCGCAGGGGAUCGUCUUCGGCUGCACCCGCCACCUCUACCAUCUGCAGGAGUGCUGCAAACCAGGCCUCCAUCAGGGUGGCUGUGGGUCCUGCGCCUGCCCACCCACCCCCUGCCCUGGGCAGCCCCAUCUGGCCCAAGUCACCACAGCAUACCCUUUUCCUGGGCAGACUUGGGCUCCAGCCCAGCCCCUGGGGGCAGCAGCCGGCCCUGCUCCUCCCGCUUCUUCAGCAUCUGGCGUUGGAAGUGAGCAACAGAACGCAGCAGCUCCUCGCCCUGCACUUCCGAGGGUGGCAGCACCACGCUGCAGUCCAGGAAGGCGUUGAUGGCAGUCAGCAAGUCCUCUCGCUCGUCCGCCAGGUAGGCCGCCUCGUGGAAUUGCUGCCAAACCAGGAUAGGGGUCAGGGAGGACACCAGGAUGGGGGAUGGGGCCCCGGAGCCCAGGGCCCAGGGCCCAGAGAAGGGCUGGGCAAGGUGGGCAUGGGGGGUGGGAGGUACUGCCAGGGGCCCAGGUUGGAUGGGGCUAGGGUGGGUCCAGGGAUGGGGGCACAGGUGGUGUGCGGCUGACCUUGUCAGACAUGAGGGUGGAGAUGGAGCGGCCAAUCUCAUGGUAGUCCAUGUUAGCGCUGCUGGGGCCCAGUAACAGGAAGAGAAAUCGCACGGGCACUGGCACCUCCAGCACUGCGUCCAGCUCCACGGCCUCCCGCAGACGCACAAAGGCCAUGGUGGGGCGGGAGAGGAACUCCACGCAGCCUAGGGGCGUGGGACCA
Molecule: long non-coding RNA, 2379 nt
Filed under: Heterocephalus glaber (naked mole-rat)
Lineage: Eukaryota; Metazoa; Chordata; Mammalia; Rodentia; Bathyergidae
Description: lncRNA (ENSHGLG00000044588.1)
Source: RNAcentral